RNAcentral lists this ribosomal RNA (253 nucleotides) under uncultured bacterium. RNAcentral's name for it is "partial 16S ribosomal RNA". It matches the Rfam family "Bacterial small subunit ribosomal RNA", at positions 524 to 776 of the family's 1533-position model. The record is from RNAcentral.
UACGUAGGGUGCAAGCGUUGUCCGGAAUUAUUGGGCGUAAAGAGCUCGUAGGCGGUCUGUCGCGUCGGCUGUGAAAACCCGGGGCUCAACCCCGGGCCUGCAGUCGAUACGGGCAGACUAGAGUGCGGUAGGGGAGACUGGAAUUCCUGGUGUAGCGGUGAAAUGCGUAGAUAUCUGGAGGAACACCGGUGGCGAAGGCGGCAUUCUGGACCAUAACUGACACUGAGAGACGAAAGCCAGGGGAGCAAACGGG